AAUACGAUUUGUUAGGUGAGGCUCCUAUACAAACACAGGCUGCUGCCCAAAAAUGUCGAGAGACGCCAAUGGGUAGAACAGGAAUUGUCGAAUACAAGGCUUUUCAUAAGGCAGCUAAAAGCAAUGCUUUUUACGUUGUAUAGUGCUAAAACUCAACGAUUAGAUCAAUAA
Molecule: small RNA, 171 nt
Filed under: Enterococcus sp.
Lineage: Bacteria; Bacillati; Bacillota; Bacilli; Lactobacillales; Enterococcaceae
Also listed under: 1 other name
Description: Magnesium sequence
Rfam family: M-box riboswitch aptamer (ykoK leader)
About the family: M-box riboswitch, also know as ykoK leader is described as a metaloregulatory RNA that sense divalent metals and function as a genetic control element of genes related to divalent metal transport in bacteria. It was first reported upstream of the B.subtilis ykoK gene and genes with related functions in other bacteria. Phylogenetic analysis of the distribution of M-box RNAs across bacterial genomes revealed that M-box riboswitches are most often employed for the regulation of Mg2+ transporter genes
Source: RNAcentral